AACGAACGCUGGCGGCGCGCCUAAUACAUGCAAGUCGAGCGAGAAGACGUAGCAAUACGUUUGUAAAGCGGCGAACGGGUGAGGAAUACAUGGGUAACCUACCCUCGAGUGGGGAAUAACUAGCCGAAAGGUUAGCUAAUACCGCGUACGCUCCUUGGACUUCGGUUCAGGGAGGAAAGGCGAUACCGUGGGUAUCGCGCUCUUGGAUGGGCUCAUGUCCUAUCAGCUUGUUGGUGAGGUAACGGCUCACCAAGGCUUCGACGGGUAGCUGGUCUGAGAGGACGAUCAGCCACACUGGCACUGCGACACGGGCCAGACUCCUACGGGAGGCAGCAGUAAGGAAUAUUGCGCAAUGGGCGAAAGCCUGACGCAGCGACGCCGCGUGGGGGGAUGGAAGGUCUUCGGUAUUGUAAACCCCUUUCGGAGGGAAGAUGGAACGAGCAAUCGUUCGGACGGUACCUCCAGAAG
This 468-nucleotide ribosomal RNA is filed under the name uncultured bacterium. Its description in RNAcentral is "bacterial SSU rRNA". It matches the Rfam family "Bacterial small subunit ribosomal RNA", at positions 29 to 487 of the family's 1533-position model. The record is from RNAcentral.